GUGGGGAAUAUUGGACAAUGGGCGCAAGCCUGAUCCAGCCAUGCCGCGUGAGUGAUGAAGGCCUUAGGGUUGUAAAGCUCUUUCAGUAGGGAAGAUAAUGACGGUACCUACAGAAGAAGCCCCGGCUAACUUCGUGCCAGCAGCCGCGGUAAUACGAAGGGGGCUAGCGUUGUUCGGAUUUACUGGGCGUAAAGCGCACGUAGGCGGAUUGGUCAGUUAGAGGUGAAAUCCCGAAGCUCAACUUCGGAACUGCCUUUAAUACUGCCAGUCUCGAGUCCGGAAGAGGUGAGUGGAACUCCUAGUGUAGAGGUGGAAUUCGUAGAUAUUAGGAAGUACACCAGUGGCGAAGGCGGCUCACUGGUCCGGUACUGACGCUGAGGUGCGAAAGCGUGGGGAGCAAACAGGAUUAGAAACCCGAGUAGUCC
Molecule: ribosomal RNA, 425 nt
Filed under: uncultured bacterium
Lineage: Bacteria
Description: partial 16S ribosomal RNA
Rfam family: Bacterial small subunit ribosomal RNA
Source: RNAcentral